UCAUCUCCUGGCUCAUCUGCAAGAUUGGAUUCGUAAUGCAGGUUAUCAUGGGAACAUCCCCAGCAGAGUCAGCUGGGGAUGUUCUGCAGCUGGGAACAUUUUCCUUGAAAAUACUGAUGCAGCUCUCCUGAUUCGUCCUUACAUCAGUGAGCUAACCGUCUCUGAGAUACACGCUGUGAUGACAGGAGGCUUUGCCAGCAUUUCUGGUUCCAUUUUGGGAGCAUUUAUCUCUCUUGGGGUGAGGAAAACAUAGUGGCAAAGGAUGU
Long non-coding RNA from Poecilia latipinna (sailfin molly), 266 nucleotides. RefSeq lists it as uncharacterized. The record is from RefSeq and is a predicted model, not a curated record. Lineage: Eukaryota; Metazoa; Chordata; Actinopteri; Cyprinodontiformes; Poeciliidae. The transcript has 3 exons.